GGGGCUAUAGCUCAGCUGGGAGAGCGCCUGCCUUGCACGCAGGAGGUCAGGAGUUCGAUCCUCCUUGGCUCCACCA
This 76-nucleotide transfer RNA is filed under the name Paenibacillus oenotherae. RNAcentral describes it as "tRNA-Ala". It matches the Rfam family "tRNA". Rfam says of the family: Transfer RNA (tRNA) molecules are approximately 80 nucleotides in length. RNAcentral also lists the same sequence under 3 other names. Lineage: Bacteria; Bacillati; Bacillota; Bacilli; Caryophanales; Paenibacillaceae. The record is from RNAcentral.